GCCUCAGUAACGGCGAGUGAAGCGGCAACAGCUCAAAUUUGAAAUCUGGCCCUUUCAGGGUCCGAGUUGUAAUUUGCAGAGGGUGCUUUGGCGUCGGCCGUGGUCUAAGUUCCUUGGAACAGGACGUCACAGAGGGUGAGAAUCCCGUACGUGGCCGCCGGUCUUCGCCGUGUAAAGCCCCUUCGACGAGUCGAGUUGUUUGGGAAUGCAGCUCUAAAUGGGAGAUACAUUUCUUCUAAAGCUAAAUAUUGGCCAGAGACCGAUAGCGCACAAGUAGAGUGAUCGAAAGAUGAAAAGCACUUUGGAAAGAGAGUCAAAAAGCACGUGAAAUUGUUGAAAGGGAAGCGCUUGCAGCCAGACGUGCCCGCAGUUGCUCACCCAGGCUCUUGCCUGGGGCACUCUUCUGCGGGCAGGCCAGCAUCAGUUCGGGCGGUUGGAUAAAGGUCUCUAUCACGUACCACCCUUCGGGGUGUCCUUAUAGGGGAGACGCAACACGGCCAGCCUGAACUGAGGACCGCGCAUCAGCUAGGAUGCUGGCGUAAUGGCUGUAAGCGGCCCGUCUUGAAACACGGACCAAGGAGUCUAACAUCUAUGCGAGUGUUUGGGUGUAAAGCCCGGGCGCGCAAUGAAAGUGAACGGAGGUGGGAACCCUUUGGGUGCACCAUCGACCGAUCCUGAAGUCUUCGGAUGGAUUUGAGUAAGAGCAUAGCUGUUGGGACCCGAAAGAUGGUGAACUAUGCCUGAAUAGGGUGAAGCCAGGGGAAACCCUGGUGGAGGCUCGCAGCGGUUCUGACGUGCAAAUCGAUCGUC
This 810-nucleotide ribosomal RNA is filed under the name Neoroussoella sp. ST-2018a. Its description in RNAcentral is "partial 28S large subunit ribosomal RNA". It matches the Rfam family "Eukaryotic large subunit ribosomal RNA", at positions 77 to 906 of the family's 3401-position model. The record is from RNAcentral. Lineage: Eukaryota; Fungi; Ascomycota; Dothideomycetes; Pleosporales; Thyridariaceae.